RNAcentral lists this ribosomal RNA (489 nucleotides) under uncultured Oscillospiraceae bacterium. Its description in RNAcentral is "bacterial SSU rRNA". It matches the Rfam family "Bacterial small subunit ribosomal RNA", at positions 29 to 507 of the family's 1533-position model. Lineage: Bacteria; Bacillati; Bacillota; Clostridia; Eubacteriales; Oscillospiraceae. The record is from RNAcentral.
ACGAACGCUGGCGGCGUGGCCUAACACAUAGCAAGCCGAACGGAGAUAAUUCGCUGAUGAAGUAACUUCGGUAAUGAUUCUUGAAUAUCUUAGUGGCGGACGGGUGAGUAACGCGUGAGCAACCUGCCUUUCAGAGGGGGAUAACGUUCGGAAACGAACGCUAAUACCGCAUGACAUUGUUGAGUCGCAUGACAUGACAAUCAAAGGAGCAAUCCGCUGAAAGAUGGGGCUCGCGUCCGAUUAGGUAGUUGGUGGGGCAACGGCCCACCAAGCCGACGAUCGGUAGCCGGACUGAGAGGUUGAACGGCCACAUUGGGACUGGGACACGGCCCAGACUCCUACGGGAGGCAGCAGUGAGGGAUAUUGGUCAAUGGGGGAAACCCUGAACCAGCAACGCCGCGUGAGGGAAGACGGUUUUCGGAUUGUAAACCUCUGUCCUCUGUGAAGAUAAUGACGGUAGCAGAGGAGGAAGCUCCGGCUAACUACGUG